This 505-nucleotide ribosomal RNA is filed under the name uncultured bacterium. RNAcentral describes it as "partial 16S ribosomal RNA". It matches the Rfam family "Bacterial small subunit ribosomal RNA", at positions 28 to 507 of the family's 1533-position model. The record is from RNAcentral.
GACGAACGCUGGCGGCGUGCCUAAUACAUGCAAGUAGAACGCACAGUUUAUACCGUAGCUUGCUACACCAUAAACUGUGAGUUGCGAACGGGUGAGUAACGCGUAGGUAACCUGCCUGGUAGCGGGGGAUAACUAUUGGAAACGAUAGCUAAUACCGCAUAAUAUUAAUUAUUGCAUGAUAAUUAAUUGAAAGGUGCAAUUGCACCACUACCAGAUGGACCUGCGUUGUAUUAGCUAGUAGGUGAGGUAACGGCUCACCUAGGCGACGAUACAUAGCCGACCUGAGAGGGUGAUCGGCCACACUGGGACUGAGACACGGCCCAGACUCCUACGGGAGGCAGCAGUAGGGAAUCUUCGGCAAUGGACGAAAGUCUGACCGAGCAACGCCGCGUGAGUGAAGAAGGUUUUCGGAUCGUAAAGCUCUGUUGUAAGAGAAGAACGGGUGUGAGAGUGGAAAGUUCACACUGUGACGGUAUCUUACCAGAAAGGGACGGCUAACUACGUG